GGCAGUUCUUAGGUGACUCAUCCUGGAACCCCAGGGUGCGUCACCUGAGAACUGCC
Non-coding RNA from Myotis lucifugus (little brown bat), 56 nucleotides. The record is from Rfam. NCBI's taxonomy places the organism in Eukaryota, Metazoa, Chordata, Mammalia, Chiroptera, Vespertilionidae.